RNAcentral lists this ribosomal RNA (820 nucleotides) under Scolicosporium minkeviciusii. RNAcentral describes it as "eukaryotic LSU rRNA". It matches the Rfam family "Eukaryotic large subunit ribosomal RNA", at positions 80 to 919 of the family's 3401-position model. The record is from RNAcentral. Lineage: Eukaryota; Fungi; Ascomycota; Dothideomycetes; Pleosporales; Phaeosphaeriaceae.
CUAGUAACGGCGAGUGAAGCGGCAACAGCUCAAAUUUGAAAUCUGGCUCUUUUAGAGUCCGAGUUGUAAUUUGCAGAGGGCGCUUUGGCGUUGGCAGCGGUCCAAGUUCUUUGGAACAGGACGUCACAGAGGGUGAGAAUCCCGUACGUGGUCGCUAGCCUUCGCCGUGUAAAGCCCCUUCGACGAGUCGAGUUGUUUGGGAAUGCAGCUCUAAAUGGGAGGUAAAUUUCUUCUAAAGCUAAAUACUGGCCAGAGACCGAUAGCGCACAAGUAGAGUGAUCGAAAGAUGAAAAGCACUUUGGAAAGAGAGUCAAAUAGCACGUGAAAUUGUUGAAAGGGAAGCGCUUGCAGCCAGACUUGCCUGUAGUUGCUUAUCCGGACUUUUGUCCGGUGCACUCUUCUGCGGGCAGGCCAGCAUCAGUUUGGGCGGUUGGAUAAAGGUCUCUGUCAUGUACCUCCUUUCGGGGAGGCCUUAUAGGGGAGACGACAUGCAACCAGCCUGGACUGAGGUCCGCGCAUCUGCUAGGAUGCUGGCGUAAUGGCUGUAAGCGGCCCGUCUUGAAACACGGACCAAGGAGUCUAACAUCUAUGCGAGUGUUUGGGUGUCAAGCCCAGACGCGUAAUGAAAGUGAACGGAGGUGGGAACCUUUUAGGUGCACCAUCGACCGAUCCUGAUGUCUUCGGAAGGAUUUGAGUAAGAGCAUGGCUGUUGGGACCCGAAAGAUGGUGAACUAUGCUUGAAUAGGGUGAAGCCAGAGGAAACUCUGGUGGAGGCUCGCAGCGGUUCUGACGUGCAAAUCGAUCGUCAAAUUUGGGCAUA